Long non-coding RNA from Passer domesticus (house sparrow), 6827 nucleotides. RefSeq lists it as uncharacterized. The transcript has 5 exons. The record is from RefSeq and is a predicted model, not a curated record. NCBI's taxonomy places the organism in Eukaryota, Metazoa, Chordata, Aves, Passeriformes, Passeridae.
CUCUCGUUCCCAUCAGCGGGGUCGGCGCAAGCGUCUGCACUACCUCCUCCCUCUGCCGCGAGCAGAACUCUGGACGCCAGGCCUUCUGUUUCCGCUGUAUAGGUGCCACCGCCCACAGGGCCCACCAAGGCUACCCCUCCCGCCUCAGCGCCUCAAGCCGGCCCGCUCUCUUCCGCUUCCUCCAAGCUGUCCGACGGGCUGCUGCCCCGGGAUGUGACACGGAUGAAAGCCGACAGUUUGUCCCGCAGCGGGGGAAGUGCCUUGGCAGUUGAGAGCCAGCACCGAUGCGCUGCGAGAAUGCCUCAGAGCCACCUGUGGACAUUGCCACCCUGUCAGGUUAUCAGUGCAACCAGAGCAUUAUGGACGUUUUUGGGAAUUGGUCAAAUUGCGAGCUCUGGAAUUGGAGAAUUGGGACUUGCUGGAGAAGAUGGGAAUGCCUGGCGGCGGUAUUAUCAAGACGGUAGAUGCAGCGGCGGGAGACACGGGAAAGUCAAGCGGUUGUUCCAGCAUCUGCAGGAAGUAUGCAGAAGAGAAGGGGCAUAUUGUGUCCAUCUGUAUCCUUGGAGUUGAUGGUUCUUCUGAACAAGUAAAUAUGGGCAUUUCUUUGUGAAGACUUGACAUAAAAAUUGAAUUGCAAGAUGCAUCAAGCAGCCUGAACUGGUCCUUACAGGUCUGCAGGUCCCUGCCAGGAGCCUGCUUCAGCAAGGACUCCCAUGGGUUCACGGCCUCUUUUGGUCAUCUACCUGCUCCAGCAUGGGUCUCCUCCAUGGGCUGCAGGGGCACAGCUGCUUCACCAUGGUCUUCACCAUGGACUGCAGAGGAACCUCAAUUCCAGCACUUGAAGCACCUCCUCCCCCUCCUUCACCAAGGACCUGGGUGUCUGUAGAAUUGUCCCUCACAUAGUCUCACUUUUCUCUUCUCUGUCUCAAAUUAUACCUGUACAAUAAUUAUUUUCUUCUUCCUUAAUAUGCUACAACAGAGGCGUUACUGCCAUUUCUGAUUGGCCCAGCUUUGGCCAGUGGUGGAUGUGUCUUGGAGCCAGCUGGCAUUGCCUGUGCUGAACAUGGAGGAAACUUCUAGAGCUUCUCACAGCAGCCACCUCUGGAACCCUACCCCUGCUACUAAAACCUGGCCAUGCAAACCCUAUCCAUAAUGUUGGGCCCAGAAUUCUUGCAAUGUGCAUCUUAAUAGCUUAUUUUUCACUCCUAGGGAGAUAUUUCUCCUGAACCAGUGCUGGAGCUAUAGCUAAGCAGUUAUCCCAUUUAAAUUCUGGGCAUUUCUUUUUUCCCAGCAUCAAGUAGUAGCUUCUGAAAUAAACACUUCUCUUUGUAAAAAACAUUCAGGGAGCCUAUUAGUAUUUCAGUUGCUACCUGCUGACUGACUGUUGAAACACUUCCCCUAGUUGAAAAGCCCCUUCAUAGUGGCAAGUCAAUAAUAUUUCUACUCUUGCCAAUUGUGUUUUCAUGUUUGUUGUGUAAGAACUACACAGGCGUUUUCCCUGCUGUCUUUUCUUCUGCUAUCUAAACUUUUUUUCACCACUUUUAAUUUUCCUUACCACAGGUAAAAUAGGUCCAUGUUUUUCUACAUUUUAAAUUAAUCCAAAGACUGUGCACACAUCUCAUAAGGAGUCAAGAUAGAUUAAAGACCUGUUUGUUUGUGUCUUGGGGUGAUUUUAUGAUGAUACUCUAUCCCCUAAUCUUCUGCUCUAUGCCCAGAAAUGGUUGCUGUAGUUUUGAGAUGGGUCCUGGGGAGGGGUGGAAGCCUUGGGGGCUCUUGCCCAGGCUUUGUUCCAAGCCUCACUCCUGGACAUGCUUGGUGUGAUUUGGACUGACAUUACUUUGUUGCUUAACUAGCUUGGUUUUUUGUUAGCUUAAGCAAGAAGUUUCUUUCCCCUUUUCUUUGGCCUUGGAGACGGCAAUCCUUUGUCAGCUUUUAGUUUUUUUCUUGAACUGUUAGCUUGGUUUUGAUCCAAGAUCGGAGAGGUGAUCAGCUGGGGAUCUGCGGAGAGCUGUGAGGAGCUUUUCCAUCCUAGCCCCAGACCUCAGAAAAAGCCAGUGCAGCAAAGUACCCUGAAUCCACUCACUUCGUCUUCUGUGAGGAGGAGACCAACAUUGGAGAUUCAGCAGGAUGUGCUUCAAAGUGCCAUGGGCAUGAUCAACAAUGGCUUGGCCUACAGGGGAAUGAAGAAUGCCACUGAGAUGUGACACACCCCGUAACUGCAAGAAUUGAUGAAUUUUCUGUGAGAUAUAGGCAGGGCUGUUAUCAGUUUUAAUGGUGUGGAGAAUGCCUAGGACAGCAAAGGCUAGCUGCCUUUGUAAUAUGUAAUGUGUAAUAGCAUCAUGGCUUUUUUCUCAUAUAGUGGAUGAAGCCCAUAUAGUGGAUGAAGAGGUGCCUAUGCAAACAUGUACAUACUUUAGCCAACCAAAUUCAGAAAUGUGUGUAACAUCUCACUGCUAAAUUUGUAAGUCUCUGUCCUGGCUUGUAAAGUAGGCAUGUAUUCUAUUUUGCCAUCUGUUGGGGGUUGGGCAGUUUUUCUUAUCUCUUUCAAGAACAAUGACACUGCCAGGAAGAUAAUCUCCUGCUAAUGGGCUAUUGAAUUACUCACUGUGGCUGGUAAGAUUAGUUACAUCAUCCCAUUAAGAGAUGCUCCACCCAGAGGGAGGAGCCAAGCAUCCCUGCCACCAUAAAACAAGCAUUUCUGAGACCACAGACAGCCUUCUUCGCUGGAUUUCUCAGAGGAAUCAGGAACCAAGGCCCAGCUGCUCCUUUGCCACGUUUUCAGAAAGGAUCUACACCCUUCUGCAGAUCGCCGCUCCAGGAGGAGCAGCCACCAUCUGGCUGGACUACUAUCAACACCCUGACUUCUCAGGGUGUCAGGUUUUUCUCACUCUGCCAGUGGUUUUUUUUUGCUUGUGUUAAAUUACAUUGUUAUUUAGUUUUUUUUUUCCUUCCUAGUAAAAAAACUGUUAUUCCCAUUCCCAUAUCUUUGCCUGAGAGCCCUUUUAAUUCUGAAAUUGUGAUAAUUCGGAAGGAGGGGGUUUACCUUUUCCAUUUCACAGAAGGCUUUUUGCCUUCCUUCACAGACUCCUGUCUUUUCAAACCAAGACAGUCUCACAGACCACAGGGGUGUGCACUGAUGCAGUGUGGCCUUGACGAUCAGCAUAGGUAUUAACAUUGCAGGCCUUGGUAUUUGUUAACAAAAACUGUUUUUGUGAGGCCUGAACACUUUGGUGAAAAAAAAGCAUGUGAUGCUCUCGCUUGUGCCAGCAUGUGUGGGUGUGGUGCUGUCCAGGCAUGACUGGCUAACUAAUCAGCUUGUGCAUUACCUUCUACGAUUAAGCCAGGCAAAUUUGUAUGACUCUGAACAUGCGACACAUAAUAGGGACGAGUUCUGCCUUGGAUUGCAUGCCACAAAGUUUUUAACAAUUCAAAUAAUGCAGCAUUAUCAAUUUCUUUCAACAACGAUCAGUCCAAUCAUUGUGUGAUGUCUGCAAUAUAAGCAGAAUCAGUUACAAAAUUUAAGGGAACAUGAGGGAAACAUUGAAAAGCCAUGGCUACAGCACAUAAUUCCACUAACUGAGAUGAUCCGCUAUCGUGACCCUCUACUGUUUGCCAUCCAUUGACGUCUUUCCAGGUCACAAUGGCUUUUCCUGUUUUCCCAGACCCAUCAGUAAAAACAGUGAGACCCUUCAAGGGUGUGCAAUUGUUUAGCAGUUUCAAAGACAACACAGUGUUGUCUGGUACCGCUCAGCUGCAACAGUUUGUGACUGGGUAGGUGAUAGGUAAUUUGCCCUGUAAAGUUUUGUAAGGCAUUUUGUAGCACUGUGCUCUUUGUAAAGCACAUACAAAGUAUUCUUGUUGUACUGGAAUGAUAAUUUUAAAAGGAUCCCUAGCAUUCAGCUGCAAGCAUCUCUGAUGGCAUUUACUAAGUAAUUGUGCAAUCAAUUAAAAAAUAGUGGAUGCUGUCUUUUUAGGUUGGUGGGGCAAAAAGACCCAUUCUAAAAUGUGUAGUGUGUUAGACCACUGAAUGUCCCAUUGACCAAUAACACCUGUAGCAUGUAAAACAGCAAUAACAAUUACUAUUGUAAUAGAAACCUCAGGGCAUAGUCGAUAAACUUGUCUGUUUGUUAUGGCCCACCCUACUGUUUUGAGUGUGGCUUUUGCUUCUGGAAUUAAUUUCCUUGUAGAAGCUAACUCAGGGUCACCUUAAGACUAUUAAAGAAGGGUGAUAACUGUGGGGUAAUUAACCCUAAAUACGGUCGUACCCAGUUGAUGACACCCACAUUUUUUGUGCAUCAUUUAAUGUUUGGAUCUUGGUUGAAAAUUGAAUUGCUUGCGGCUGUACUGUUUGGUCUAAUAUUUUAACUCCUAAGUAUUUCACUGGGAGUUGUUGUUCCACCUUUUCUGAUGCAAUUUGCAACACAAACUCUUGCAGUGCUUGCAUCAAUUUUAGCUGAAUCUGUAUAAGGCCUUCUUUUGUUGAAGUUACUAUUAAAAUGUCAUCCAUGUAAUGAUAACAAUAAGCUCUCAGGAAUUGUUCUCUUACUAUUGAGAAUGCCUGUGCAACAUACCACUGGCAAAUUGUUGGACUAUUUUUCAUACCCUAUUGGCAGCACUUUCCAUUGAUCUUGAGUGGUGCUGCAUGAUUGAUAGAGAACAACUGCAUUAAUUUUUAAGUAAUGGAGUAAACUUCAUUUACCUGAUUUCUUUUUAAUCACACAGGAGUGUUCCAUGGACUUACUGAUGGCUCAAUAUGUCCUUGAUUUAAUUAUUCUUGAACUACCAAUUUAACGGUGUUUAAUUUUUCUUUUUCAAGGGGCCACUGAUCAACCCACAUACAUCAUUCAGUGAGCCACUUUAAGCCUAAUGUAGGAUGCUUUGUGCCCUUCAGCACAGUGGCCCCUGUUAAAAAUUUGUUCCCAGCCAAAUCCCCCAUGCUGACAAGACAUCAUUUCCCCAUAGGCUGAGUGGCACAACAGUAACAUAGGGAUGGAUAAUGGCUGUCUGUCCUUAUCCUUUUAACUAACACAGACUUACUACUCAAGUAACUUUGUGUGGUACCUCCAAGGCCAGCAACAACAGAUCCUACAGCCAUGGUGGGCCAUGAUUGAGGCCAUGUGUUAGCAGAUAUGAUAGUAAUGUCUGCUCCAGUAUCUAUCAUCCCAUUAACCUUGAUGUGGGAUGGAUUUGCCUGAGGCAUUGUAAGAGUACAAACCAUGUUUAGUCUUUGAUCACAUACAACCUGAGUCCAGUAUGCUUGAGAUUCCCCCACUGACCUGAAGCCUUGGUUUCCUCACAGCUUUGAGUCUGUUUUAGGAACAAAAGACUUAAAAGGUACAAGCUGAGCAAUAUGACUUUUAGCUGGAAUGUUUACAGGAGGAGUAGGUGUUGAUACUAUAGCAAAUAUCUAUCCAGUAUAGUCUGCAUCUAUAACUUCAGGGUGGACAAAAAUACCCUGUAAUGUUGCACUUGAUUGUCCUAAUAGUAAUGCACUUAAUCCCUUCCCAGUAGGCCAAUGGGCCUUAAGGCAGAUUUUAUAUACCUUUAGUGAGUCUAUAGUUAUUGUGUGGGCAGUAGAAACACCCAUGCCAGCUGAUCCUCUUCUUUUCCCCUGUCUGUGUGCAACUUUCCCCUUCACACUCUUGUUCCUGUUUCUCCGUCUAUUAAGAGGUUGUCUGUUAGCAUGGAAUUUAGACUUGCAAUGCUUGGCAAAAUGACUGGAUUUUCUGCAUUGGUUACUGUGGUGGCCUACAGCUGGCCUGUAGGCCUCAAAGUAUAAAUAAUUAUAAAAUUACAAGGGAAAUAUGUGAUCAGUUACAUAAUUACCUGACUCCUACAAUUCGGCUGAUAGGAGCAGGCCCAGGCCAUUGGAGACUCAGGCUUCUAUUGGCUGGCUGAGCAGGAAGUAACAGGCUCAGCCAAUGAGGAUUAUCUUCAUGGGCUCCUAAGGUAUAUAAGGGAGCUAGACCUGAAUAAAGUGAAGUCUUGCUGCAUGAACUCAGUGUGUCUUGUCACUGGUGACAGGCUACAGUUUCCCACUAUAGGCACAGAUCUCUGUUUCCGAUGUGUCCCCAAUUAGUUGGACUUACGGGGACAAUUUGCUUUCAUGUGGCCUUGUUGCCCACAUCUAUAGCAUUGGUAUGACAACCUCACAGCAGCUGCCAAAGAAUUAGCUAAUGAAGCCAUGUUAUAGGAUUCAGUUCCAACUUUAGCACAUGCAUCAAUCAUUUAAUCUAAAAACAGAUUUUCUCUUGGUAAUAAGUCUAUAGCUUUCCUACAGUCUUCAUUUGCAUUGUCUCGUGCCAAUUGCAAUAUCAGCUGAUUUUUUUGCAUCGUUAUUUACUAUUUGCUUUUUUAUUGCAUCUUAUUAUCAUUCUGUAAUUUGCAUAUAAGGCUCUUUGGGGCCCUGCUUAAUUGUUGCAUAUUUCUGAGUUGGUGUUGCCAUGUUUGCAACUUUCAUCAGUGCCUGCAUUCCUAAAUCUCUUGCAUGUGCCAAUAUCAAGGGAUAUAGGUGUGCUUGCAGCUGGGUUAUCUAUGGGAGGCAAUCCCAGAAGUUGAGGGACCCCUACCCCAAAGUGUGGAUCUUGCUGCAGCACCUCUAAAUUAUGCAGCCCUUACUCUUCCACAUAUCGCUGUCAGGUGGAUUCAAACAUCAUGUAUUGAGUCAGGGUACAGAGCAACUCAGCCAUUUGUUUGAUAUCAAAGGGUGUCAUUUCAUUGGUAACUAGAAAUCAUAGCAUGUUUGCUAUGGCUGGAGACCCCAGUCCAUGUUUGGUGGCCAGUUGGUAUAACUUGGAAAGAAUUUGCCAUUUAAAGGGCACAUGUAU